UUUAACAUGAGAGUUUGAUCCUGGCUCAGGAUGAACGCUGGCGGCGUGCUUAACACAUGCAAGUCGAACGAAGCAACUUAUUACGAUCCCUUCGGGGUGACGAUUUGUUGACUGAGUGGCGGACGGGUGAGUAACGCGUGGGUAACCUACCUUGUACAGGGGGACAACAGUUGGAAACGACUGCUAAU
This 188-nucleotide ribosomal RNA is filed under the name Pseudobutyrivibrio sp. JW11. RNAcentral's name for it is "16S rRNA. Bacterial SSU". It matches the Rfam family "Bacterial small subunit ribosomal RNA", at positions 1 to 167 of the family's 1533-position model. Lineage: Bacteria; Bacillati; Bacillota; Clostridia; Lachnospirales; Lachnospiraceae. The record is from RNAcentral.